RNAcentral lists this ribosomal RNA (253 nucleotides) under uncultured bacterium. RNAcentral describes it as "partial 16S ribosomal RNA". It matches the Rfam family "Bacterial small subunit ribosomal RNA", at positions 524 to 776 of the family's 1533-position model. The record is from RNAcentral.
UACGUAGGGUCCGAGCGUUGUCCGGAAUUACUGGGCGUAAAGCGCGCGCAGGCGGCCCGCGAGGUGUCACGUGAAAGCCCCGGGCUCAACCCGGGAGGGUCGUGGCAAACCGGCGGGCUUGAGGCCGGUAGAGGUGGGUGGAACUCCUGGUGGAGUGGUGAAAUGCGUAGAGAUCAGGAAGAACACCUGUGGCGAAGGCGGCCCACUGGGCCGGUACUGACGCUGAGGCGCGAAGGCGUGGGGAGCGAACGGG